UGGGAAAUAUUGGACAAUGGGCGAAAGCCUGAUCCAGCCAUGCCGCGUGUGUGAAGAAGGUCUUCGGAUUGUAAAGCACUUUAAGUUGGGAGGAAGGGCAUUAACCUAAUACGUUAGUGUUUUGACGUUACCGACAGAAUAAGCACCGGCUAACUCUGUG
This 160-nucleotide ribosomal RNA is filed under the name uncultured bacterium. RNAcentral describes it as "partial 16S rRNA". It matches the Rfam family "Bacterial small subunit ribosomal RNA", at positions 355 to 507 of the family's 1533-position model. The record is from RNAcentral.